UUUUUAUGAUCUGCGUACCAUUCGGAGCCAAAGUGACUUUUAAACUUUACCUACGAUAGUACCUUUUGAGUUAAACUAAACAACAUGCAUGGUUUCUGUUAGAGAUCUUCUAAUACACAACUUUUAGUUAUGACUCAAGUUUAUACACCAUUUUUUAUCCUUGCAAAGACAUCCAUACCUACUUACUCCGUACAUAUAUUGUUGGGAUAAAUUUGAAAUAGCUUGAGGUGCAAGUUUUCUAAUCUAUUAAAGUUGUAGUUAUCUAAAGGGAUUAGGAAAUAGUUAAUUGUGUUAGUCAUAAUGGGUUUAGGAUAAUUAAAGUGUUAUAUAAGGAUAUGCAAGAGUUGCAUAACUUAAGAGUUUUGUGAUUGAGGGCUUAAGGUUUUGAGAGAGUUUCCUUAAGAUAUUAAUAAGAGAGUUUGCUUA
Molecule: long non-coding RNA, 426 nt
Filed under: Brassica napus (rape)
Lineage: Eukaryota; Viridiplantae; Streptophyta; Magnoliopsida; Brassicales; Brassicaceae
Description: long non-coding RNA (BNAP_LNC017563)
Source: RNAcentral